Molecule: long non-coding RNA, 145 nt
Organism: Balaenoptera acutorostrata (minke whale)
Lineage: Eukaryota; Metazoa; Chordata; Mammalia; Artiodactyla; Balaenopteridae
Exons: 3
Source: RefSeq, a predicted model, not a curated record
GGCUGCAUCUCAGGCUGGAGCCCCUCUCCAGACCCUGAACACAGCUGCACGGGAGACCAAGUCCUGCUCUGCAGAGAACUCAUCCUCCUUCCAGGACAAGGACCCUCAGUGGGAGUCAAGCCGUGGAUCUGCUGCACACGGCUGA